UACGGAGGAUCCAAGCGUUAUCCGGAUUCACUGGGUUUAAAGGGUGCGUAGGUGGAAUGACAAGUCAGUGGUGAAAACCUGCAGCUUAACUGUAGAACUGCCAUUGAUACUGUUAUUCUUGAGUACAUUUGAUGUGAGUGGAAUGUGUCGUGUAGCGGUGAAAUGCUUAGAUAUGACACAGAACACCAAUUGCGAAGGCAGCUCACAAAACUGUAACUGACACUGAGGCACGAAAGCUUGGGGAUCAAACAGG
RNAcentral lists this ribosomal RNA (253 nucleotides) under uncultured bacterium. RNAcentral describes it as "partial 16S ribosomal RNA". It matches the Rfam family "Bacterial small subunit ribosomal RNA", at positions 524 to 776 of the family's 1533-position model. The record is from RNAcentral.